Molecule: ribosomal RNA, 466 nt
Filed under: uncultured bacterium
Lineage: Bacteria
Description: partial 16S ribosomal RNA
Rfam family: Bacterial small subunit ribosomal RNA
Source: RNAcentral
GACGAACGCUGGCGGCGUGCUUAACACAUGCAAGUCGAACGGUGAAGCUCCAGCUUGCUGGAGUGGAUCAGUGGCGAACGGGUGAGUAACACGUGAGCAACCUGCCCCUGACUCUGGAAUAAGCGCUGGAAACGGCGUCUAAUACUGGAUACGAGAAGGGUCCGCAUGGGCACUUUCUGGAAAGUUUUUCGGUUGGGGAUGGGCUCGCGGCCUAUCAGCUUGUUGGGGAGGUAAUGGCUCACCAAGGCGACGACGGGGAGCCGGCCUGAGAGGGCGACCGGCCACAUUGGAACGCGUCGCGGGCCAAUACUCCUCCGGGGGGAGGCGUUGGGAAUUAUUGCGAAAGGGGCGAAGGCUUGUGGCGGCAAGGCCGCUGGAGGGUUACCGGCUUUCGGUUUUUAACCCUUUUUCACCAGGAAGAAGCGAAAGUGACGGUACCUGAGAAGAAGCACCGGCUAACUACGUG